Puma concolor (puma) is the source of this 459-nucleotide non-coding RNA. The record is from the annotation of a RefSeq genome assembly. Lineage: Eukaryota; Metazoa; Chordata; Mammalia; Carnivora; Felidae.
AUGAGCCUCGGCCUCCUGUGCUGUGUGGCCCUGGGUCUCCUGCAGGCAGGGCCCGUGAAUGCUGGCAUCACUCAGACCCCCAGAUUCCAGAUCCUGGGGACAGGACAGAGCAUGACGCUGAGAUGUGAACAGGACAAGGACCACGACUACAUGUCCUGGUAUCGACAAGACCCUGGACAUGGGCUGCGGCUGAUCCAUUACUCCAUCAGUGCUGGUACCACCGAGAGAGGAGAAAUCUCCAAUGGAUACAACGUCUCUAGGUCAAAUACAAAGAACUUCCCUCUCACGCUGGCGUCCGCAACUCCCUCCCAGACAUCUGUGUACUUCUGUGCCAGCAGUGACUACACACCUUUCCAUAGGGGCAGCCCCAACAAGGCCCUGCUGGGUCUGUCCUCUAGCUGCCUCGAGACUGGCUUCGCUGGCUUCAUGUGCCUCAGCUCUAACCCCACACACUGCUAG